RNAcentral lists this ribosomal RNA (482 nucleotides) under uncultured Methanosaeta sp. RNAcentral describes it as "bacterial SSU rRNA". It matches the Rfam family "Archaeal small subunit ribosomal RNA", at positions 858 to 1338 of the family's 1478-position model. The record is from RNAcentral. Lineage: Archaea; Methanobacteriati; Methanobacteriota; Methanomicrobia; Methanotrichales; Methanotrichaceae.
UCGAAAGGAAUUGACGGGGAGCACCACAACGGGUGGAGCUUGCGGUUUAAUUGGAUUCAACGCCGGAAAUCUUACCGGGACCGACAGCAAUAUGAAGGCCAGGCUGAAGACUUUGCCGGAUUAGCUGAGAGGUGGUGCAUGGCCGUCGUCAGUUCGUACUGUGAAGCAUCCUGUUAAGUCAGGCAACGAGCGAGACCCACGCCCACAGUUGCCAGCGUACUCUCUGGAGUGACGGGUACACUGUGGGACCGCCGCUGCUAAAGCGGAGGAAGGAAUGGGCAACGGUAGGUCAGUAUGCCCCGAAUAUCCCGGGCUACACGCGAGCUACAAUGGUUGGUACAAUGGGUAUCUACCCCGAAAGGGGACGGGAAUCUCCUAAAACCAAUCUUAGUUCGGAUUGAGGGCUGCAACUCGCCCUCAUGAAGCUGGAAUCCGUAGUAAUCGCGUUUCAACAGAACGCGGUGAAUACGUCCCUGCUCCUU